CCCUUAGAUGUUCUGGGCAGCACGCGCGCUACAAUGGUCUUCGCAAACGGAUGCAUUCUCGAAGGAGAAUGCCAAUCUUGGAAUCUAUGCCUUGGUCGGGACAGUUGCUUGCAAUUUUUCGACUCGAACCAGGAAUUCCUUGUAAUCGUGAUUCAUCACAUCACGAUGAAUACGUCCCUGCCCUUUGUACACACCGCCCGUCGCUCCUACCGAUUGGGUGCUGGGGUGAACAUUGUGGAGAUUUGAGCUUCGGCUUGGUCAAAGCAAUGUGAAUCUUGCCGCCUAGAGGAAGGAGAAGUCGUAACA
Molecule: ribosomal RNA, 306 nt
Filed under: uncultured eukaryote
Lineage: Eukaryota
Description: partial 18S ribosomal RNA
Rfam family: Eukaryotic small subunit ribosomal RNA
Source: RNAcentral